Molecule: ribosomal RNA, 440 nt
Filed under: uncultured bacterium
Lineage: Bacteria
Description: partial 16S ribosomal RNA
Rfam family: Bacterial small subunit ribosomal RNA
Source: RNAcentral
CCUACGGGAGGCAGCAGUCGGGGAUAUUGCACAAUGGGGGAAACCCUGAUGGUGCGACGCCGCGUGGGUGAAGGAGUAUUUCGGUAUGUAAAGCUCUAUUAGCAGGGAAGAAAAUGAAAGUAACUGACCAAGAAGCCCAGGCUAACUACGAGCCAGCAGCCGCGGUAAUACGGAGGGGGCAAGCGUUAUCCGGAUUUACUGGGCGUAAAGGGAGCGUAGACGGUUGCGUAAGUCUGGAGUGAAAGCCCGGGGCCCAACCCCGGGACGGCUUAGGAAACUGUGUAACUGGAGUACAGGAGGGGCAAGCGGAAUUCCUGGUGUAGCGGUGAAAGGCGUAGAUAUCAGGAGGAACACCGGCGGCGAAGGCGGCCUGCUGGACUGUAACUGACGUUGAGGCUCGAAAGCGUGGGGAGCAAACAGGAUUAGAUACCCUUGUAGUC